This 1524-nucleotide ribosomal RNA is filed under the name marine metagenome. RNAcentral describes it as "bacterial LSU rRNA". It matches the Rfam family "Bacterial large subunit ribosomal RNA", at positions 695 to 2210 of the family's 2925-position model. The record is from RNAcentral.
CUUAGUUGCAUGGAUUAGACCCGAAACCGUGUGAGCUACCCAUGACCAGGGUGAAGCGAAAUUAACGUUUCGUGAAGGCCCGAACCCUUGUACGCUGCAAAGUGCUGGGAUGAGUUGUGGGUAGAGGAGAAAUUCCAAACGAACACGGAGAUAGCUGGUUCUCCCCGAAAUGUAUUUAGGUACAGCCUUAGGUAUUAACUGAUGGAGGUAGAGCACUGGAUGAGCUAGCGGGCGCAAGCUUAGCAAACUCAACCAAACUAAGAAUGCCAUCAGCCGAAUCCUAGGAGUGAGACAGUGACGGAUAAGCGCCAUUGUCGAAAGGGAAACAGCCCAGAUCGCAAGCUAAGGUCCCAAAGUUAUAGUUAAGUGGUAAAGGAGGUUGGAUCGCCCAGACAGCUAGUAGGUUGGCUUAGAAGCAGCCAUCCUUUAAAGAGUGCGUAAUAGCUCACUAGUCGAGGGGUUCUGCGCCGAAAAUUAUCGGGGCUAAACUAUACACCGAAGCUGCGGGAUUCUUUAUGAAUCGGUAGGGGAGCGUUCUCAAUGCACUGAAUCUGAAUUGUGAAAUUUGGUGGAGCGUUGAGAAGUGAGAAUGUCGGCAUGAGUAGCGACAAUCUUUGUGAGAAUCAAAGACACCGGAAGUCCGAGGUUUCCUACGCAACGUUGAUCGGCGUAGGGUUAGUCGGUCCUAAGGAGAAGCCGAAAGGUGAAUUCGAUGGACAGCUGGUCAAAAUUCCAGCACCGUAAUUAUCCUGUUAUGCAACGAAGGGACGCGAUAAGGACUGUUAAGCAUGCCUAUGGACAUGGUGUGUGGGGCCUUGUAGGGAAGUGAUUGUGGUUAAAAGAACAGUUACGUUAUUAACUGAGAAGGUUUCAGACCUUAAGGCUUCGGCCUUAGGGAAUUUAACACGAACUAUGUCGCCAAGAAAAGCUUCGUUGAUAGGGAUAUUAUGACCGUACCGAAAACCGACACAGGUGGACAGGGGUAAAAGCCCCAAGGUGAACGAGAAAACCAUCCUCAAGGAACUCGGCAAAUUAACCCCGUAACUUCGGAAUAAGGGGAGCCUAAAAUAUAUAGACUUCGCGUUGAAAGUAUUUUAGGCCGCAGAGAAUUGGUCUGAGCGACUGUUUAUCAAAAACACAGGUCCGUGCUAAAGCGAAAGCUGAUGUAUACGGGCUGACGCCUGCCCAGUGCCGGUAGGUUAAAGUGAAGAGUGAGAGCUUUGAUCUGAAGCCCCGGUGAACGGCGGCCGUAACUAUAACGGUCCUAAGGUAGCGAAAUCCCUUGUCGGGUAAGUUCCGACCUGCACGAAAGGCGUAACGACUUGGACACUGUCUCGAGGGUGGACUCGGUGAAAUUGCAUGACCCGUAAAGAUGCGGGUUACGCGCAGCAGGACAAAAAGACCCCGUGGAGCUUUACUGUAGCUUGGCAUUGAAUUGUGAUUAAUGAUGUGUAGGAUAGGCGGGAGACUAUGAAUUUUGAGCGUCAGCUCAAUUGGAGUCGCCCUUGAAAUACCGCCCUUCUU